UUGGUGAUGGCAUGGAUGCCCCUGGAGGUGGUGGCGGUGCCGCCCUGCUCACGUGGACAUGCCUCAUUGAUCUGUGAGACUAAUGUAAUGACACCAGCUGACCUCCCAUCACCUGUAUGGAUGGCGGGCGUGAUUGGUGUUGCUGCCAACUCUGCUACAUCGCUGGCUAUGAGACAUGCAGCACCACUGUACAGCGGGAAUUCCCAACACAGCCGCACCCAAUCCACAUUGUUGGAGGAGCAGGACUAUAAGUUUUGUCGCAGCAUGCCGUCGUCACUGGAUUGCAAGGUGUAUGUGGGGGAUCUUGGGUCAGGGGCAUCUAAACAGGAGCUGGAGGAAGCUUUCUCCUACUAUGGACCCCUGAGAAAUGUUUGGGUGGCCCGCAAUCCCCCUGGCUUUGCUUUUGUUGAGUUUGAAGAUGUUCGUGAUGCAGAAGAUGCUGUGCGUGGUCUUGACGGCAGGACAAUAUGCGGCCGACGUGUCCGUGUAGAGCUGUCAACAGGCAAGUCCCGCAACAGAUUCAGGGGCCCGCCACCUCGCCGUGGACGACCCUUCCAUCCAGAGGAUCGCUGCUAUGAGUGUGGAGAGCGUGGCCAUUAUGCUAGAGACUGUUAUAGGUACAGCCGGCGGUACUCAAGAUACUCCAGGUCGAGAAGUAGGAGCCGAAGCCCACGCCGCCGAAGAUCCUACACCCGCUCUCGGUCCCGCUCACGAAGCAGGACCAGGGACCGCUCACACUCCAGGGAUCGAAGUCGGUCUCGGGACAGGUCCAGGUCCCGCUCCCGCUCCAGGUAUCGCAGCCGUAGUCGCACUCGGGAGAGGUCAAGAACACCUUCAAGAGACCGAGACCGUGAGAGAGAACGCUCACGUAGUCCAGAGGACAGAGGAAAUGGGCAAUAGAUGGCGGCGCCACUGCGGCAGGCGGUUGUAAACAAGUCUAGCCAACACUGUAUUGUCCGGUAUCAUGACCGGAGCAGGUCCAGGACACCCAUGGAGAAUGGUAGCCCUAAGAAGGAUGAAGACACCAAUGAGUGAUCUAUGCAACAUCCUAAAAGUUUUCACACUGUAUCACAUUAAUUUUGUACUUUCCAUAAAUGUUUGAUUCAUUUGUAGUGUGUAGUGAUGUGUAUCCAAGUGCAGUAAAAUAAUCACCAUGUGGGUGUGUAAGCAUCACCUACUGAUAAGGAAAAAGAAAUUUUUGAUUCAUUAUAUUAGUACUUGGUUUACUGAGGAAAUUGUAUGGGUUUUUGAUUUAAUAAACUUGUACUGAUA
Molecule: RNA transcript, 1272 nt
Organism: Portunus trituberculatus (swimming crab)
Lineage: Eukaryota; Metazoa; Arthropoda; Malacostraca; Decapoda; Portunidae
Gene name: serine/arginine-rich splicing factor 7-like
Exons: 8
Source: RefSeq, a predicted model, not a curated record